This 61-nucleotide microRNA precursor is filed under the name Pristionchus pacificus. RNAcentral's name for it is "mir-8364 microRNA precursor family". It matches the Rfam family "mir-8364 microRNA precursor family". Lineage: Eukaryota; Metazoa; Nematoda; Chromadorea; Rhabditida; Neodiplogasteridae. The record is from Rfam by way of RNAcentral.
UCUUCAUUUCUCGUGCUCUCUCACCUUUCAGAGAGGUGACAGAGUGCGAGAAAUGAAGAGA